Molecule: long non-coding RNA, 1007 nt
Organism: Rosa chinensis
Lineage: Eukaryota; Viridiplantae; Streptophyta; Magnoliopsida; Rosales; Rosaceae
Exons: 2
Source: RefSeq, a predicted model, not a curated record
CCCUGGUGAAACUCCAUUUCUGUAGCAAAAGCGACUCAGAAGAGAGCCAAAUCUUCUGGUUCAUUAAUUCUUUAAUUGAGAGAAAGUUACAAGGUGAAAGUCUCUUCUGGGCACGCCCUUUCAGCGAACUUCGACGGCCGAAACUGCCACUUCUGCAGUUCACAUCACCACGACGUCUUCAUGAAAGUUGUUCGAAAUUGCGUCUUCUAUACUGUGCUCGAAAAUCAUGAUAAUCCAACGGUUAAUUCGUUCUCAAUCAAGUUUCCACUCAGAUUGGGCCAUGUUUCUCCAUCGACAUUGAGUUAAUUUCAUCAAAUUUACAUCUCCAUCUUGAGUUCACACACAAUUGAUUUUACGAUUGGUAAGUUUUGCCUCAAUCUGUUGAAUUUCAUCUUUUCUAGUUCAAUUUUCAUAUAGAAUCUCACAUUCAUUAAGUUUUGUGAUGCUUAAACUUACCAUUUGACUCGGUCCUUCCCACAAUCUGAUAUCAAAAUUUUGUUAAGGUUUAUUCAUACUCAAAGUUCAUUCAUAUCAGAACUUGACCUUCUGGACUUUUACUUAUCAAAUCCAUAUGGAUGUUGCUUACAAUUGUUGCAAGCCUAGGAUCAGUUCUUAUGCCGUCCUCCUUAAUACACUCAUCAAUACAGAAUUUCGACUGUACAAAUGGAAUUAUUCAAAAUUGGUUGAAUCCAGAACAUGCGACCAAGAUCUUCAACAAACCUUUACAAAUUACAGGUAUAGAAAUGUCUACCACUUCUAUUAUCUUGAACCUUGCCACGAAGUGAACAACUAUUGCAGACGUCGUUGGGGCCGAGAUGGCGAGCAAUGUAUGUUCGAAAUUAUUACAGCAGUCCAUAGGCAAUUGCUUCCUAAGUUUUUGCAGCUAUCAUAUUUAUUCUCACAUUGUUGCAAACAGUUAAAAUUGAAAGGUAAAAUCGUUAGGAUUUGCUCAGCUAGUUUAUUUGGUGGCUAUCCCAUUGCUAAUAAAUGUUCCUUAAUGUUGCCUC